AAUUUUGCACAAUGGGGGAAACCCUGAUGCAGCGACGCCGCGUGAGCGAAGAAGGCCUUCGGGUCGUAAAGCUCUGUCCUAAGGGAAGAAACGGACGGUACCUUAGGAGGAAGCCCCGGCUAACUACGUGCCAGCAGCCGCGGUAAAACGUAGGAUCCGAGCGUUAUCCGAAUUCACUGGGCGUAAAGCGCAUGCAGGCGGCCGCACAAGUUGGAUGUGAAAUCUCCCGGCUCAACUGGGAGGGGACGUUCAAAACUGUGCGGCUCGAGGGCGGUAGAGGAAGGUAGAAUUCCCGGUGUAGUGGUGAAAUGCGUAGAUAUCGGGAGGAAUACCCGUGGCGAAGGCGACCUUCUGGACCGUUUCUGACGCUCAGAUGCGAAAGCUAGGGGAGCGAACAGG
This 399-nucleotide ribosomal RNA is filed under the name uncultured bacterium. Its description in RNAcentral is "partial 16S ribosomal RNA". It matches the Rfam family "Bacterial small subunit ribosomal RNA", at positions 360 to 776 of the family's 1533-position model. The record is from RNAcentral.